CUCAUUCGCACAUGCUUGUGAGGGUCGCUCCCUACAAGCCGGCACUCCGGAGUUAGCCUACGCGACUUAUGUUCGCUCGUGCGGUAUUGAGAAGCCUACGGGGUCGAGUGGGACAGACACAUUCCAAGAGCAGGAAUGUUGGGCUACCACAGGCACUUAGGCGGCACAAGCCGGACUACACCUGUGUAGAUCCUGAUUGAGAUUGAACCAGAAUAUUAAACAACAAGUUGACAUUCGCUACUAGCUAGGUUAUAGUAGUUGGACUCUUGAUAUGCUAUGGCAUAGAGUUGG
RNAcentral lists this long non-coding RNA (291 nucleotides) under Ananas comosus (pineapple). RNAcentral describes it as "long non-coding RNA (ACOM_LNC042010)". Lineage: Eukaryota; Viridiplantae; Streptophyta; Magnoliopsida; Poales; Bromeliaceae. The record is from RNAcentral.